CCUCCUCGAUCUGCUGCGGGCAGAUGUAGUGGAUGUGCGAGUCGAUGCCGCCGGCCGUGACGAUGUUGCCUUCGCCCGCGAUGAUCUCGGUGCCCGGGCCGAUCACGAUGUCCACACCCGGCUGCACGUCGGGGUUGCCCGCCUUGCCGAUGCCGGUGAUCAGGCCGUUCUUCAGGCCGAUGUCGGCCUUCACGAUGCCCCAGUGGUCGAUGAUCAGCGCGUUCGUGAUCACGGUGUCGGCCACCUCGGCCGCGAGCCGCUGGCUCUGGCCCAUGCCGUCCCGGAUG
Rhizobacter gummiphilus is the source of this 287-nucleotide small RNA. It matches the Rfam family "5' ureB small RNA". The record is from Rfam. NCBI's taxonomy places the organism in Bacteria, Pseudomonadati, Pseudomonadota, Betaproteobacteria, Burkholderiales, Sphaerotilaceae.